RNAcentral lists this long non-coding RNA (1020 nucleotides) under Apteryx haastii (Great spotted kiwi). RNAcentral describes it as "lncRNA (ENSAHAG00000013019.1)". Lineage: Eukaryota; Metazoa; Chordata; Aves; Apterygiformes; Apterygidae. The record is from RNAcentral.
AUGGGGGUGCACGGAGCGGGUGAGCCCAGACUCACGGCAGGGUGGCUGGCGGCUCUGCCCCGCCGUGGGGGGCAAAGUGGGGCCGGGCUGCUGCAUGCYGGGGGGGAGUCUGGGGCUGCCCCCCUGCACUGUGCUGGGGACCGAGCGUGGGGGCCGGGCGGGCGGCUCUCACCGAGCCCAUGGCAGCAGCYGGGGCUGCCCGACAGCGGAGCGGGGCCGAGGGGGACAGAAAUGCCCCUGCCGCUAGGUCCCACCCUGGGCAAAGGGGUUUGUCCUGCGCUGGCCGGGCCGGGCGCUGCAGGAGGGACGGGCCGGUGUCGCCACCUCCACACUGGUGAGGAUGAGCCUGGAGCGGAGCAGCCUGCCGGAGCAGCCCUGCUUAGCGGCUGUGCUGUGCCCAGGGGACCAUUUGGCAGACUUUGGUGGCCAAGGGCUCUAAGGGGGGGGGUCCUGGGGGGGCUGCAGGGUGCUGCAGGGGGCACGAAGGGCCUCGCUGGCACGUCUUGCUGUGCAGCUGGAGGCCAUGCGGUGGCCCCGGGCGAGGGCAGUGGGCGAGCGGGGGGCCUCGCACAGCCCCUACCCCACUGCACAGGGCUGCCCAUGCCCGGGGCGCAGGAUGCAGCCGUGGCCCCCGCUGCAGGCUGCGCUCCGGGGCGGUGGGCGCCCGCCGGUCCCCGCGCCCGGCCCGGCCCGGGCAAGGCAGCAGCAGAUGGAGCUCUUGCUCCAGGAAAGCCCUUCCCGGGCGGGCUGCUCCCCGGCUGCUCCGCGGCUGCUCCCCUGCUGCUGCCCGGCUGCUGCCCCCAGCCCCGGGGCUCCGCGGCUCCCGGCCGGCCGCCCCGGCGAGCUGUGCCUCUUUCCCUGCACCGCGGGAAAUGUGUUUCUGAGCACGGGGGGAAAAGGCGCCCGGACGAGCAGGGAUCCAGCAAUGCAAGGAGAGAGGUGCAGCUGCCGCCUCCCAGCACCGCUCRGCCGUGCCGUGCUGAGACGUGCCGGCAACCCCUGUGUGCCAGCGCUGCGUGA